GGGGAAUUUUCCGCAAUGGGCGCAAGCCUGACGGAGCAACGCCGCGUGAGGGAUGAAGGCCUCUGGGCUGUAAACCUCUUUUCUCAAGGAAGAAGAUCUGACGGUACUUGAGGAAUAAGCCACGGCUAAUUCCGUGCCAGCAGCCGCGGUAAUACGGGAGUGGCAAGCGUUAUCCGGAAUUAUUGGGCGUAAAGCGUCCGCAGGCGGCCUUGAAAGUCUGUUGUUAAAGCGUGGANNNNNACUCCAUUUCAGCAAUGGAAACUACAAGGCUAGAGUGUGGUAGGGGCAGAGGGAAUUCCCGGUGUAGCGGUGAAAUGCGUAGAUAUCGGGAAGAACACCAGUCCCGAAGGCGCUCUGCUGGGCCAUAACUGACGCUCAUGGACGAAAGCCAGGGGAGCGAAAGGGAUUAGAUACCCCUGUAGUC
This 424-nucleotide ribosomal RNA is filed under the name uncultured cyanobacterium. Its description in RNAcentral is "bacterial SSU rRNA". It matches the Rfam family "Bacterial small subunit ribosomal RNA", at positions 356 to 795 of the family's 1533-position model. Lineage: Bacteria; Bacillati; Cyanobacteriota. The record is from RNAcentral.